CAGAAUUCAAUGAUGGCAUACAUGUGCAUCUAUUUCUAGACUUUAUUUGAUUUCAUGGUCUAUGUGUCUCUUCUUACACCAAAUGUCCUUAUAAAUCUAGCUUUAUAGUAAGCCUUGAAAUCAGAUAGUGCAUCAGCUAAAGGCUGUAGCAUUGGUCAAUUUGAAUGCUUCCUUUCUAUCUUUAGCUUUUAAAAUGGCUUCCUUCCUUUAGCAUCAUAUCAUAUUGAAUGGAGCAUCUGGGAUCUCCAUUUUGAAGCAUAUGUCUGUAGGCAGCCAUAGCCCCUCCAACAAAUCUUAAAGAAAAAAGCAAGCAUCAAAGCCAAGCCAAUCACAGCAUUAUAGCAUUAUUACAGGCAUUGCAAGUAUAACAGGUUAGCAUAUAUGUGCUUGUAGAAAUGAAGUGUUACCAUUCUUGUAGUUUAAAAUGGUCAGGGAGAACUCCAGUUAGUUUCUAUUUAGUACCACCAAGUACAUGUUCGGCAUUUCUUUUUAUAAUUACUAUUGUCCCCAUAAGACUAUACUUUUUAUUUUGAGGAAAUUGUACAGGCAAACCUUCUUUAUUGUGCUUAGCUUUAUUGCACUUCACAGGCGUUGCAUUUUGUACAUGUUGAAGGUCUGUGGCAACCCUGCAUUGAGCAAGUUUAUUGAGAACAUUUUUCCAACAGCAUUUGCUCACUUUGUCUCUGUGUCACAUUUUGGUAAAUCUUGCAGUAUUUCAAAAUUUUUUAUUGCAAUUAUUUCUGUUGUGGUUCUCUGUGACCAGUGGUCAUUGUUGUUACAUUGUAAAUGUUUUGAGAUGCCACAAACUGUGUUCAUAAACAAGGGU
RNAcentral lists this long non-coding RNA (826 nucleotides) under Homo sapiens (human). RNAcentral's name for it is "long non-coding RNA NONHSAT198713". The record is from RNAcentral. Lineage: Eukaryota; Metazoa; Chordata; Mammalia; Primates; Hominidae.